UAUAAAGUAAGCUAAUUAUAAGCUAUUGGGCUCAUACCCCAAAUAUGAUAAUUUUCCUUUAUUA
RNAcentral lists this transfer RNA (64 nucleotides) under Alectorobius mimon. RNAcentral describes it as "tRNA-Met". Lineage: Eukaryota; Metazoa; Arthropoda; Arachnida; Ixodida; Argasidae. The record is from RNAcentral.